CUACGGGCGGCAGCAGUGAGGAAUAUUGCACAAUGGGGGGAACCCUGAUGCAGCAACGCCGCGUGGAGGAUGACGCAUUUCGGUGUGUAAACUCCUUUUAUAUGUCAAGAAAAUGACGGUAGCAUAUGAAUAAGCACCGGCUAACUCCGUGCCAGCAGCCGCGGUAAUACGGAGGGUGCAAGCGUUACUCGGAAUCACUGGGCGUAAAGGACGCGUAGGCGGGUUGGAAAGUCAGGUGUGAAAUCCUACAGCUUAACUGUAGAACUGCACUUGAAACUUCUAAUCUAGAGUAUGGGAGGGGGAGAUGGAAUUAGUGGUGUAGGGGUAAAAUCCGUAGAUAUCACUAGGAAUACCUAAAGCGAAGGCGAUCUCCUGGAACAUUACUGACGCUAAGGCGUGAAAGCGUGGGGAGCAAACAGGAUUAGAUACCCGGGAGUC
This 438-nucleotide ribosomal RNA is filed under the name uncultured bacterium. Its description in RNAcentral is "partial 16S ribosomal RNA". It matches the Rfam family "Bacterial small subunit ribosomal RNA", at positions 339 to 795 of the family's 1533-position model. The record is from RNAcentral.